UAAACUAUAAAGAACGGUUUUUGGGUUGUCUGCCAAGUAGUGACUAUUUAUAAAAUUAUCCAGAUAUUCUAAAACAUUUUGGAUGUUGAGAUUUUUGAGAUAUGGUGAAACUAUGACGCUACAUUUCGUCAAACAGUUUGUAAUUUUAUUUGCGUAACACACUUAUAUAUAUGCAUUUCACCAUAUACUACUUCAAUUCAACAUUUUGGCAAACUGUUGACGUGUGUGUGUAUUUGUAAGCGAUCAGAGCUCAUGAAUGCUCACCGUUUUGCGGCACACGCUUGAAAAAAAUAACAGAGCAGCUGAGUACAAUUCCCACAUAGGUCAAAGCGAGUCUUGUAUUUUCAACCGUUUUGGUUGAAAAACGAUAAAACAAUACAAUAAAACAAUUUUUGUAUUAUUUUUAAAGUUAUUCUAAUUUUUCAAUCGAGAUGAUUGAAAGAAAAUGUAUUAUAUUUUUGAAAGUUUGAAACGCACUCAGCCGUUGUGUUAUUUCUUUCAAGCGUGUUUGUUUAUCAAGUGAAAAAGUGAAAAAAAAAGUUCUGCAUGUUCUGUUCCGAUGAAGGUUUUGGGUCCUACUGCUGUUUCUCCGUGAAUCUUCAUAACUUUUCCCAUCUGGGAGUACGUACUACCCCACUGGACCGGCGUUGGGGCGCUAUUCCAUCGGCGACUUCAAAAUCUCGUCCAAGGCUGCAGUGGCUCAUUCGACACCGGAAGAGUUUACCUCCAGACGAAUGGUGGUCGAACGAAUGGAUAUUUUCGAUCUUCUGGAAGUUAGCGAGAUAUUUGCCAGCUUAAUAGAAACUAUUCCUAAUGAAGAAUGCUUCGCUUUUGGAGCCGCACGGAUUCAACAUCAACUAAUAAUGGAAAAUGUAUUACCUAGGCAGGAUCUGUUACACUCCACAAAAGGCGGUAUGGAGGGCAUAUACAAUCAGCCGCACCCGUCACUCCAUAGCAAUUCGGAAAUUGAGAAUGCAUGAAACAACUCUCUCAACUAUGGUGGAAUCUCAUUGAUUACCCGAUAAGUUAUAGUAAAACUUCGACCAACUAGUUCAUUGUAUA
This 1062-nucleotide long non-coding RNA is filed under the name Aedes aegypti (yellow fever mosquito). RNAcentral describes it as "lncRNA AAEL027270". The record is from RNAcentral. Lineage: Eukaryota; Metazoa; Arthropoda; Insecta; Diptera; Culicidae.